GUGGAACACACCAAGGGUCUCAUCCACAAGGAAGGGCUUUAACGCUCAGGGUCAGGGACCUCUGAGAGCUCUUGGGGGCUUGCGCGCCCUUGGAUGCUCUUGCGUUCAACAGGGCGAGGGGACUACCUGCUUGGGCGAGGAAGGCAGGCGCCUAGAGCCUUGGAGCUCCUGAAACGUUCCUGCCGCCUCCGGAAAGCAAGGGCAGUUUACCGAAGUGACUGAGGCCAAGUAUUUGCAAAACGGGCAGGGACCAGUAACUGAUUUUCAGUCCUUUGGAGAGGAAGAGGAAGAGAGAGGAAGAAAAGGAUUUCUAAUAGUAGAUAGUCACCGUCAUGGACUGUUUAGGAAACAGCAACAAAGACAAGAUUAAAUAAGUUGAUGUUUGUAAAAUGCUGACAAUGGUGCACAUAGUAAACACUGGAUAUGUGUUGAACAAGUACAAACAGACAGGAAUAGAUAACAUGAGGUAUAUGCUAAUCAUCUAAGAUGUUAGAAAAUACUGUUUAGAUCUGAAAAUGAUCAAGGUUGACAUGGUCAUUGAUUCAUCAAAUAACUAUGAAACAUAAUCAGAGGGGAAUAAGACUCAAUGAGUGCCUUCAAUAAAUUUGUGACUUAGUAGACAUUAAA
Molecule: non-coding RNA, 627 nt
Organism: Macaca mulatta (Rhesus monkey)
Lineage: Eukaryota; Metazoa; Chordata; Mammalia; Primates; Cercopithecidae
Source: RefSeq, a predicted model, not a curated record